This 237-nucleotide ribosomal RNA is filed under the name Shigella sonnei. RNAcentral's name for it is "partial 16S ribosomal RNA". It matches the Rfam family "Bacterial small subunit ribosomal RNA", at positions 258 to 487 of the family's 1533-position model. Lineage: Bacteria; Pseudomonadati; Pseudomonadota; Gammaproteobacteria; Enterobacterales; Enterobacteriaceae. The record is from RNAcentral.
UAACGGCUCACCAAGGCCACGAUGCAUAGCCGACCUGAGAGGGUGAUCGGCCACACUGGGACUGAGACACGGCCCAGACUCCUACGGGAGGCAGCAGUAGGGAAUCUUCGGCAAUGGACGAAAGUCUGACCGAGCAACGCCGCGUGAGUGAAGAAGGUUUUCGGAUCGUAAAACUCUGUUGUUAGAGAAGAACAAGGACGUUAGUAACUGAACGUCCCCUGACGGUAUCUAACCAGA